GACGAACGCUGGCGGCGUGCCUAAUACAUGCAAGUCGAACGAAGCUUUUUUAACUGGUGCUUGCACCGACUUAAACAACUGAGUGGCGAACGGGUGAGUAACACGUGGGUAACCUGCCCCAAAGCGGGGGAUAACAUUUGGAAACAGAUGCUAAUACCGCAUAACCACAGAAACCACAUGGUUUCUGUGUCAAAGAUGGUUUCGGCUAUCACUUUGGGAUGGACCCGCGGCGUAUUAGCUAGUUGGUAAGGUAAUGGCUUACCAAGGAAAUGUACCGUAGCCGAGCGGAGAGGUUGAUCGGCAACAUUGGGACUGAGACACGGCCCCAACUCCUACGGGAGGCAGCAGUAGGGAACCUUCCACAGUGGACGAAAGUCUGAUGGGGCAACGCCGCGUGAGUGAAGAAGGUUUUCGGAUCGUAAAACGCUGUUGUCAGAGAAGAACGUGUGCGAGAGUAACUGUUCGUGCAGUGACGGUAUCUGGCCAGAAAGCCACGGCUAACUACGUGCCAGCCGCCGCCGUAA
This 524-nucleotide ribosomal RNA is filed under the name uncultured bacterium. RNAcentral describes it as "partial 16S ribosomal RNA". It matches the Rfam family "Bacterial small subunit ribosomal RNA", at positions 28 to 523 of the family's 1533-position model. The record is from RNAcentral.